GAGUGGGCUCUUCGGAGCUUAAGGUACGUGCUAAUCCCAUGGGUAACCAUGUCUCUAUGAAUAGGCCCGACAAGCCGAAGCGUAGGGAGGCAGACAGCCUGGAGCUGCCUGCUGGACCUCACUGUCGCGGUUCGCCGCGGCGUGGGAAAUGCUGUGAUGCCCUUAGAUGUUCUGGGCCGCACGCGCGCUACACUGACGGAGCCAGCGAGUACUCCCUUGGCCGAAAGGCCUGGGUAAUCUUGUGAAACUC
RNAcentral lists this ribosomal RNA (250 nucleotides) under Nectria sp. (in: ascomycete fungi). Its description in RNAcentral is "Nectria sp. (in: Fungi) partial small subunit ribosomal RNA". It matches the Rfam family "Eukaryotic small subunit ribosomal RNA", at positions 1353 to 1562 of the family's 1831-position model. Lineage: Eukaryota; Fungi; Ascomycota; Sordariomycetes; Hypocreales; Nectriaceae. The record is from RNAcentral.